This 497-nucleotide ribosomal RNA is filed under the name uncultured bacterium. Its description in RNAcentral is "partial 16S ribosomal RNA". It matches the Rfam family "Bacterial small subunit ribosomal RNA", at positions 28 to 507 of the family's 1533-position model. The record is from RNAcentral.
GAUGAACGCUGGCGGCGUGCCUAAUACAUGCAAGUCGAGCGAACAGACGAGGAGCUUGCUCCUCUGACGUUAGCGGCGGACGGGUGAGUAACACGUGGAUAACCUACCUAUAAGACUGGGAUAACUUCGGGAAACCGGAGCUAAUACCGGAUAAUAUAUUGAACCGCAUGGUUCAAUAGUGAAAGACGGUUUUGCUGUCACUUAUAGAUGGAUCCGCGCCGCAUUAGCUAGUUGGUAAGGUAACGGCUUACCAAGGCAACGAUGCGUAGCCGACCUGAGAGGGUGAUCGGCCACACUGGAACUGAGACACGGUCCAGACUCCUACGGGAGGCAGCAGUAGGGAAUCUUCCGCAAUGGGCGAAAGCCUGACGCAGCCACGCCGCGUGGGUGAUGAAGGUCUUCGGAUCGUAAAACUCUGUUAUUAGGGAAGAACAAAUGUGUAAGUAACUAUGCACGUCUUGACGGUACCUAAUCAGAAAGCCACGGCUAACUACGUG